CUGCUCCAGCAGCACAAUGUGAUCCACCGGCAAGGAGGGACACCAAUAAGGUGUCCGAUAAGAUAAUCACCACUGUUCAAGACCAACGUGCCACAAUUUUCUGUCACCAUUGGGAGGCUGUUGUGACUUUGUGGAAAGUUGUUUGGAAGUUUCCUUUCCUGCUGUUUUGUGCCUGCAGAUGGGAAUGGUAUAAAAGAAACAAUAAAAAUGGGCAGUGCCAUUUGUAUGACCUUAUUCUUCCAAAUUAUAGGUUCUUCUGUUCAGUAAUAACAAGUGGUAGUGAGGACAUCCGAUAUUUCCAGAGAAAGAAUUUUCUUGUUGAGAAAAAAAAACCUUCUUGGAAACAGGAAAUCAAUUUUAGUUGACCACAUUUGGAGUCCCAAAUUAAAAGGUUCAUUCUCAAUUUUUUUUUUUCACAACCAGCUUGAAGUUCUAAGGGAAAACCAAGUAUGUAUCUGCAUUUCUUUUCUGUGUGGUUCACAUGAAGAAUAGUUCCCACCUACAAUGGCCAGUUGAAUUUGGACCUUAGUAAGAGAGAAUCGUAACUCUACACCAGACACUCGGAGCUUAAGCACCCCAGCAUCAGUGGUGCCUAGGAGAGCUUGUCCUAGGGACCAUGAAGCUAAAGAGUACAAACGGCUUCUGGGCUGUGAAAUGCCCUGAAGAGAAGGAAGUGUUCUCUGCCAUUACACAAAUCAAACUCUCAGUCCUACAGGACACUCUGACAUGAGGGCUGGUUGGAAGACAUGCUUCUUCUCCAUUGAAAUUCCCUAUCAUGGAGUUAUCUGCUAAGCCAAUCCCGAGAGAGCACGCCUUUGAUUUUCCAAUUACUACAUUGUUUUAUCCUCACCCGUGGUGUGUGAAUCAAGAACUAUAUUUUACAAAUGAGGAAACUGAAGUGAAGAUAAGCUCAGCAAAAACUGAAAGCCGUGUACCUAAGAAUGGAGGACUGAUAUAGCCACAGUCAGGGCCUUAUCCAGACAGCUGUAAAUCACAGUGUUUAAAAAUGCAGAACAAAACAAGCCAUGAAAAUCAUUGGGGACAGAAGGGGGAAAAAAAAGAUGAAGUCAUAUGAGUACUAGAGAAUCAGCAGAUGGCUCCAAAUCCUGCUGUCCCUUAGCUGGCUUGUGACCUUGGCCAAGUCACUUUUGAACUCAGCUCAGCUUCUUUGGGCACAAAGUUUGCAACAUCUGUCAGGCCUUUCUCUCUAGGUCUUGUGACUUAAGGCAUUGUAUAUGAAAGCCCCCUGUAAAGUC
RNAcentral lists this long non-coding RNA (1256 nucleotides) under Cricetulus griseus (Chinese hamster). Its description in RNAcentral is "lncRNA (ENSCGRG00015031179.1)". Lineage: Eukaryota; Metazoa; Chordata; Mammalia; Rodentia; Cricetidae. The record is from RNAcentral.